This 1514-nucleotide ribosomal RNA is filed under the name metagenome. RNAcentral's name for it is "bacterial SSU rRNA". It matches the Rfam family "Bacterial small subunit ribosomal RNA". The record is from RNAcentral.
AGAGUUUGAUCCUGGCUCAGAUUGAACGCUGGCGGCAUGCCUAACACAUGCAAGUCGAACGGCAGCAUGUUUUGUAGCAAUACAGAAUGAUGGCGAGUGGCGAACGGGUGAGUAAUACGUAGGAAUCUUCCUUAAAGUGGGGGACAACUUCGCGGAAGCGAAGCUAAUACCGCAUGUUUUCUGUGGUUACACAGAACAAAGCAGGGGAUCGUAAGACCUUGCGCUUUAAGAUGAGCCUACGGCCGAUUAGCUUGUUGGUAGGGUAAAGGCCUACCAAGGCAACGAUCGGUAGCUGGUCUGAGAGGACGGCCAGCCACACUGGAACUGAGACACGGUCCAGACUCCUACGGGAGGCAGCAGUGGGGAAUAUUGGACAAUGGGGGCAACCCUGAUCCAGCAAUGCCGCGUGUGUGAAGAAGGCCUGCGGGUUGUAAAGCACUUUCGGUAAGGAAGAAAUACUUGGAGUUAACACCUUCAAGGGUUGACGUUACUUACAUAAGAAGCACCGGCUAACUCUGUGCCAGCAGCCGCGGUAAUACAGAGGGUGCAAGCGUUAAUCGGAGUUAUUGGGCGUAAAGCGUGCGUAGGUGGAUAUUUAAGUUGGGUGUGAAAUCCCCGGGCUCAACCUGGGAAUUGCGCUUAAUACUGGAUAUCUAGAGUAUGGUAGAGGAAAGCGGAAUUUCCGGUGUAGCGGUGAAAUGCGUAGAUAUCGGAAAGAACAUCAGCGGCGAAGGCGGCUUUCUGGCCCAAUACUGACACUGAGGUACGAGAGCGUGGGUAGCAAACAGGAUUAGAGACCCUGGUAGUCCACGCUGUAAACGAUGAGAACUAGGCGUUGGUCUCUUUAUGGGAUCAGUGCCGAAGCUAACGCGUCAAGUUCUCCGCCUGGGGAGUACGAUCGCAAGAUUAAAACUCAAAGGAAUUGACGGGGGCUCGCACAAGCGGUGGAACAUGUGGUUUAAUUCGAUGCUACCCGAAAAACCUUACCUACCCUUGAAAUACUCGGAAUCCUGCAGAGAUGCGGGAGUGCCUUCGGGAACCGAGAUACAGGUGCUGCAUGGCUGUCGUCAGCUCGUGUCGUGAGAUGUUGGGUUAAGUCCCGUAACGAGCGCAACCCUUGUCCUUAGUUGCCAGCGGUUCGGCCGGGAACUCUAAGGAAACCGCCAGUGAUAAACUGGAGGAAGGUGAGGACGACGUCAAGUCAUCAUGGCCCUUACGGGUAGGGCUACACACGUGUUACAAUGGGAAGCACAGAGGGUUGCUAAGUCGUGAGGCGAAGCUAAUCCCAGAAAACUUCUCGUAGUCCGGAUUGGAGUCUGCAACUCGACUCCAUGAAGUUGGAAUCGCUAGUAAUCGCGAAUCAGCAUGUCGCGGUGAAUCCGUUCUCGGGCCUUGUACACACCGCCCGUCACACCAUGGGAGUGUAUUGCACCAGAAGCGAGUAGGCUAACUGCGCAAGCGGAGGCCGCUCACCACGGUGUGGUCCAUGACUGGGGUGAAGUCGGAACAAGGUA